AAAAUCUUUUUAUAACUGUUUCGUUGCUUCUGUUUAUUACAAAGAGAAGCUUAUUUCUGGUAUUCUUCACCUUAUAAAUGACGAAAGAAACGGAGCGACUAUUGAAAAAUGGUUGGUAAAAAAGUUAAUCUCUAUGCUUGCUUUACUGAAAGUUUAUGAGGAAUUUUUUCAAAAACCUUUUUUGAAAGCCACAAAAGUCUAUUACUACAACGAAGGGCAUUCCCUU
Molecule: long non-coding RNA, 226 nt
Organism: Zophobas morio
Lineage: Eukaryota; Metazoa; Arthropoda; Insecta; Coleoptera; Tenebrionidae
Exons: 3
Source: RefSeq, a predicted model, not a curated record